RNAcentral lists this long non-coding RNA (267 nucleotides) under Fukomys damarensis (Damara mole-rat). RNAcentral describes it as "lncRNA (ENSFDAG00000027161.1)". The record is from RNAcentral. Lineage: Eukaryota; Metazoa; Chordata; Mammalia; Rodentia; Bathyergidae.
UUAGAACCUUCUAGAAAGCCCUGGAAUCUGGGAAAGCCCUGGAAACUUCAGGAAAGCAUAGAUCUGGCCACUCACACAUUUGGUGCCAUGACUGGCAGGAGGAACUGAAGAGUCAGUCACACCCCACGUGGUGAGCAGAGCUGUGCAUAGGAAGAUGAAGGAAAUCAACUCUUCCUCACCAUAACUUGGUUAGACUGGUACAGCCGGAACUUGGGACUGCUGACAGGACCACAAGUUCUUCCUAAUACUGACGUCCCCACUUCUUCA